AUGUGGAACAACAUGGUUGAAAUCUCUCAUGUUUUCUAUCAUGAAUCGAACCAGGUAUGAUUUCUCAGCACACCCUUUGCUGACUUCUAGCCCUCAUGAACUUGUUCCCUUCUUGGAAUUCUACGCAGAGCAGAACAUCCCCUUCCCAGACCUGGACACACUUUCCUCUCCUCAGCUCUUCCAUACUCACAUUGCCUUCACUUCAUUACCCCAACCUGUCAUAGACUCUCAGUGUCGAAUUGUCUAUAUCUGUCGCAACCCCAAAGAUGUGUUUGUUUCUAGUUUUUGUUUUAUCUCGAGAUGUCAUAUAGUGGUUCCCCUCGAAGAGGCAUUUGAGUUGUUCUGCAAAGGAAUUAGCUUCUAUGGACCCUUCUGGGACCAUGUUUUAGGGUAUUGGAAGGCUAGUUUAGCUUCACCCCAGAGAAUAUUGUUCUUGAAAUAUGAAGACGUGAAGGGGGAUUCCUUGUGUCAGGUCAAGAGGUUGGCAGAGUUCAUGGGCUCUCCCUUCUCUUCCGAGGAAGAAGGACAAGGUUUGAUACAUGAAAUUAUGGAGCUGUGUAGUUUUGAGAAUCUAAGAAAUUUGGAGGUAAACAAGACCGGAGCACUAUCUGUGGGCAAUAUCAGCACUGGAAAGGAUACUUUCUUCAGGAAAGGUGAGGUUGGUGAUUGGAAGAAUCAUUUGACAGCUGAAAUGGCCGAUCGCAUUGACAGGAUCAUGGAGGAAAAGUUGAAAGGUUCUGGUCUGACAUUCAGCGACUCCUGUGAUAGCUGAUUAUUAAUUCUGGAGGUGAACUUCAUAUGAUUUGUAUUAAGUUAAUUUAUUAACUAUCUAAUUGUCUUCUGUUAAGUGUGCUUGUGUGCUUGUAAUAAAUGGAAUGAUGGUGUUGAGUUAAUUUGUAUUAAGUUAUAAGGCUUUCUUAAUUUAUAUUUAAAUUCAAUACUUGGGCUAAGAAAUCAAUUCCACCAAAUAUACACAUGGACCAAUUAAAUUGGUCUCAUGAAUAUAACUAACUCAUCCUCGUCAAGAAAUUCCAAAAAUUUAAGGGCAACAUGUGUUUCAUGAGAUUGUUCAAUUUCUCACAUUUUUUUAUUUCAAUCUACCUGAACAAGCUCAAUUAUAAUUGAUUCUAUUACGGUCUCAUUUUCCAUCCGAUAUUGUUCGAUUUAAGACUAUAAUGAUGCACAUAUAAUCCAUCAGUCGAUGUUGAUUUUACUUCUUUAUUUGACCUAUGAAAAAACUUUGAAUGUGUUGUGAAAGUCCUUCAUGUAUAGCUCUUUAAUAUUUUCACAAUAUGAUAUUUUCUUCCUAAUCCAUGGUCAUUGUCUUCUCCACUUAAUUUUGGUGUGGCAUAGUCCUUAUGAAUAUUCUAAGAGUAAUCUCCCAACUAUUGCAUUAGAAUUUAUACUUACUAAUCAAUCAAUCAAUCAAUGAUCAUUGUCUUCGUCAUUGUCCUUAUGACUUGAGAGCAUGGGAUUGCACCAUUUUUUUUUUUUUUUUACCGACAAGUAGUAAUUGGAAGACAAAAAUUGUUGUAUUUGAUAAAGUCAAUAUCAAUAUGUUGGAGCUUAACAUGUAGGUCUUGUUGUUGUAAAUUCAACUUUUGAUUGCUUCAGGGUUAACUCCAUACCAUUUCAAAUUAGAUGUUUUCUGAGGUAUGCAUGCAUAGAAGGUUCGUAAACCUUAAGGAUUAGCUAACACAACACAUUAGAAUGAAAAUGAUGGAGUGAAGGUCUGAAAAAUGCAACACCCUCCUAGCUGAAGUGCUUGUCCUUGGGCAUUCAAACAUUUAGAGAUUUCUUUGCUACUUUCUAUUUCAUUUCUAACUUUAAAAAUUUGAUUUUGAAAUAUUUUUAAAGUAGAAAUCCUCCAUAAUUAAUUUCUAAAGUAUUUUAAGCAUACAUAAGCAUGUUUUAUUGAAAAUUUGUGAGCAUCUAAAUCUCACAAGAGGAUAGUCAUUAUGGAUGUUUGAGCCUCUAUCUUUCAAUUUUUUUCAAGAUAUUUCUUAAAAGAACUUUUAAAUUUGUUUACUACAAUAAAGAUCAAGGACUCACAUUACUUAAAUUUAAUUUAUUAAGGGUUUCAAACAAUCUAAUAACAGGCAUAAGAAAGUAUUACAUUGAGACAUAGAAAGAAAAGUGAUGGUACUGAUGAUAUUAUACCUUAAAAAAUAAGUAUAUCAAAUCAAGCUAAAUGAUAUUUUUUUUUCUUAUAUUUAAUUGAUAACUUGGUGAUCAAGAGAUGAUCCAUGAUCUUUAACCUAGGGGUUCUAGGCAGUUUUUCAUUUUUAUUCUAUAUAUUCUUACAAUUAUUUAGAAAAAGGAUUACUUGCUCGAAAAAGUUGAAUAUUUUUUGUGUAAUUUCCUAACAACCAAACAUUAGCAUAUUGGCAUUAAUUUUGGCUGACUUUCUUUUGGUAAGAAUAAGACAAAUAACUAUAGAAAGUGCUACGAGAUAUUUGUACACUUUAGGUUCCUUAGGAAGUAUAAGAAAGAUUAGUGAUUUUUUAUUUGUUCGAUUAGUUGGUUGAUUGGAGUUUUCCUUUUCGUGUUUUGUUGUCUCUUUGGGUAUUGAUAGGACAUGACCUUUUAAAGAAAAUGAUUCUUUAACAUGAGCACAAUGAACAGUUUUGUCCUUUGCAACAGUAAGUGAGUAUAGAAAUAAAAUGAAAAGAUUUGUACUUUAUAUGAGUUGUUCUUUGGGAAUACUACCUACAUUUGACCUCGAUAAUAAAAUGAUAUGUAAAGUGCAUGUCAUUAAAAAAUUUAUAAAAAUUUAUCAAACUAUAUAACCUAUUGGUGAGAAAUAAUCACAUGCAUUUUAUACGUAUCUAAAUAUCAUAAUUUUUUUUAAAAAUUUAUUAUUAAAUAUCAAAUAUAAUUUGUUAUUUAAUGAACUAUCUAACUCUACAUAAAAAUAAUAAAAAAUCUUAAUUUUUUAAUUGUAUUUUUAAUUUUUUUAAUUUUUAAUUUUAUUAAUCUCAAAUUAAUUCUCAUAUUAAAUUAAUUUAUAUUAUUAAUAUAUAAAAAGGUCAUUUUAGGAAAUAAUUAUUUGAAUCAUGAAAAAAUAUAUAUUUUAAAAUAUUUUAAAUGAGUGAGGAUAAAUAUGAUUUAUAAAAGUUUGAGAUAUUUUUUUAUACUUUUUUGUUUUAAAUUGGUAAGUGAAAACCCACUUUUUCCAAAAAUAAUUAUAUAAACAUGUAGAAUAAAACACUACACAUACAAAUUAUUUUUGAAAAUAUUAAAAAUAUGUUAAAGAUAAUUUAGGUCUUUAAACAAACCUUUGCUUUACAAAAUAUAAGAAAAAAAAAUUAAAAACUGUUAUUUAAAACUAUUUUUGAUUCAAAAACAAUUUCUAGACAUAGCCUAUGUUUUUGUCUUCUUUUCUUUUUAUCUCCUUGUUCUUUACUUUGUUUUCUUAUACUCUGCACAAGGCUCUCUAGUUUCCUCCACAACACUCCUACCAACUGCCGCCACCUUCUUUACAGGCAAUACAGAGCUUAAUGUACUUUUAAAAAAUGAAGAUAAAGAGGAAAUCAUUAAUUGGAUAUUUGGAUGUCAACCUAAUGCAAGCAUUAUAUUUAAAUUGAAUUGUUUUGCAGUUGGUCAGAUUUCCACAUCUUUCCCAAAUAUUGCUGAAGAAUUGGUUUGACAAGUGCUGUUUUCUUCUACAAAAUAAUUGAACAUACAUUAUCACUUCAAAUCAAGUGUCGGGGAAUUAUGCCUUCUUGCUUCAAUGUUAAUCUUGAUAGACAGCUCAUAUUUUUAGUCAUUCCCAUAAUUGUUGCAAUCAUGCCAUUAAUAUAUUUGUGACUAGUGUAUUUAAAUACCACAUCCACAAUCAUAGCUGUAAUUGCUCCAUGUAUCAAGCCAUUACAUGUGUUUAUAUACCCAUGUAAAUUAUGAAUGAAAGCAAGAGUUUUUCUGUUCAAGUUUCUGUUGUUUUAAAUCUAUCAACUCAAAGCUUUACUUAGAGUUAGGGAUGAAGAUAGGCGGGCUCACCCGAUCUAAUUUGAACCCAAUUGGAUAUUUGAACGAAUUUAAACAAUCAUUUUUAAUAAUCAGGUUGGGUUGAGUUAGGCUUUUUUCAACCUGAACUUAAUUUGGAUUGAGUUCGGAUUAAGGUUUAGACAACUAGAGUUUAACUUGAAUCCGAUUUAAUGUUUUUAUAAUAUUUAUAACACAUUUUAUUCUAUAUAAUAAUAUAAGUUUUCUUUUUCUAUUUUUAUGAAAAAUAUCAAAUUAUAUUAGAUACUAUGUUUUUUAUUAUUUUUAGAAAAUAUAUAAAUUUAUACUUAUUCUUUUAUUGCUAUCUUGAAAUUUUGUCCUAUUUGUUAUUAAAAUUUUCAUAUAAAUACAUUAAGAUAAUAUUAUACAUAGAUUUUGAAUUAUGCAACAUGACCAAUUCAAGUGUAACUUGAUCAAUCUGAAUUUAACUUAAACAACCCAAACUCAAUCUAAGUUUAGAAAAAUUAGAUUGGAUUCAACUUGAUUUAAAUACAUUGGGUUAGAGUUCAAGUUGGGUUGAGUUCAAAUUGAUUAUUUCUUAAUUCAAUUUAGGUUUAGGUUAGUCUUCAACUCGAUCAACUCACCCAAUUUACAACCCUAGAUAGAGUACCAACUUUCGAAUCAUACUUUAAUAAACCCAAAAGCCUAAUUAAGAGAUAAAAAAAAGCUACCUAAAAGCAAAUCAACUUGAAUUUUUAUCGAAAAAACAAUAUCAGUAAUACAUUUAAGUUAUGUUUGGUUUUUAAAAAAUGAAGGAAAAUAAAAAAUAGGAUUAAAGUUAAUAAAUUAUUUUUAUAUGCUAGCUUCUUCAAAUUCAUUUAACUUAUUUCUCUCAAUUACCUGAAGAUUAAAUAAUUUUUAAAUAUAUAAAUUUUUAAUGAAUUGUAAUUAUAAUUAAGCUAGGAGAGAUUUACAUUUGAAAAAGUACCAACAUCUUUAACCUAUCUGAGUCAUCUAAGAUAUGUCGAUAUUUCUUAUAAUAAAUAUGAGGUACUUCUUAAUGCAAUUACAAAGCUAAAGCAUUUACAGACAUUGAAACUUUUUCAAUGUUUGUAUCUUAAAGAAUUGCCAAAAAAAUAUAAACAAUCGGACAAACUAGAGGCAUCUUGAGAUUGAUGGGAAUAGUGGAUUGACUUUUAUGCCAUGUGGGUUAGGAGAAUUGACUAUGCUUCAGACUCUACCAUUGUUCUUUGUUGGGAAUAACAACAGGAAUUCUAGUGAUAAGAGAAUUGGUCAGUUGAAUGAAUUAAAAUGCAUUAACAACCUCAGAGGAGAAUUGUAAAUUGCACAACUUUCAAAUAUGAGGGGUGGUUGUGAAUGUUUGCAAAAAAAAAAAAAAAAAACCAUCACACAUUAUCGUGGUGAGUGUUUCUUCUAUAUAUUGUCAUUUACAAAGUACAUAAAAAUAGAAAGAAUAAAUAUGUACAAGAGAAUAGCCUAGAAUUAAGGACAAGAUAUUGAGCCGAAUAUUAAGGUAGCUAAUUAAAGUAAUGUAUCCUUGACACCCCCCACAAGCUGAGCGUCGGAUUUGAAUAGACAUGAAGCUUGGUACGAAAGAAGUCAAAGAGAGGGCGAGAAACACUUUUGGUGAAGAGGUCGGCAACUUGUAGAUGAGAGGGCACAUAUUGAGUGCGAAGUUUACCAACAAUAAGAAGUUCUCGAAGAAAAUGAUAGUCUAAUUCAACAUGCUUAGCCAGUUUGUGGGAAACGGGGUUGGAGCUUAAGAAAAUCGCACUUUUGUUGUCACACGGGAGAAUAGGCUUCGGUGUAAUGGGAACCUUAAGAUCAUGAAGUAGAUGGGUGAGCCAAAGGAGUUCAGCUGCAGUAGUGGCAAGGGUACGAUACUCAGAUUCACAACUAGAACGAGAGACAGUGGGUUGCUUUUUAGCACUCUAAGAAACCAGAUUAUCGCCAAGAUAAAUAGAGUAGCCAAAGGUGGAACAUGGAGUAUUGGGACAACCGGCCCAAUCAGCAUCAGAGUAAGCAACUAGGGCACUAGGAGCACCAAAAGGGCGAAAAGUAAGACCAAAGUGAAGUGUGCCCUUGACAUAACGUAAGAUGCCCUUGACCGCAAGAAAGUGAUCCUCAGUAGGGGCAUGUAGAAACUGACUAACAGAGUUGACAACAUGAGCAAUGUCAGGGCGAGUGAUGGUUAAGUAUUGAAGGGCACCAACUAGGGAUCAAUAGAGAGUGGGGUCUGAGAAGGCAGUACCAUCACUAGUCAGAUGCUGAAAGACAACCAUAGGAGUGUGAACAGGCUUGCUGUUAAAUAACUGGGCACGAGUCAGAAUAUCCCGGGCAUGUUUCAGCUGAUUGAUAAAAAGACCAUCAGUAAUGGAAGUGGCUUCCAGACCAAGAAAGUAGCUGAGAGAGCCCAAAUCCUUGGUGGCAAACUCAGAAUUGAGCUUGUGAGCAAAGCUAUCAAGAAGAGAAGAGUUGUUGCCAGUAAUGAUAAUGUCAUCAACAUACAAGAGCAAAUAAAUAAUGUCAGACUAUUGAUGAAAGACAAAAAGAGAGGUGUCUGCACGGUUGCAAGAAAACCCAAGGGUGAGAAGAAAAGAGUUGAAACGUUGAAACCAGGCACGAGGAGCUCUUUUGAGGCCAUAGAGAGCUUUCUUCAACUGACAGACAUGAUUCAGGUACCGGGGAUCAAUGUACUUAAGAGGUUGUUCCAUAUAACAUUUUUAGUGAGAGUGCCAUUGAGGAAUGCAUUCUUCACAUCAAGUUGGCGAAGAGGCCAUUUGUUGGUAACAGCAAGAUAGAGCACAACACGAACAAUAGUAACCUUAAUAACAGGAUUGAAAGUGUUAGUGUAAUCAAGACUAGGUACCUGAGUAUAGCCUUUGGCCACAAGACGAGCCUUGAGGUGCUCAAUAGACCCAUCAGGCAAAUAUUUGGUCCAUAACACCCAUUUGGAACCAACAAUAUUUGUGUGGGCAGGUCAAAGAACUAGAACCUAGGUGCGAUUAUGUUGCAGAGCUUGAACUUCUUCAUCCAUGGCAACAAGCCAUGCAGGAUUCUUAGUAGCAGACUUGAAUCAUUUAGGCUCGGUGGAGGCAAGAAGAGUAGAGAGAAGCCCAAAUGAGCUUAAGACAUUGAGAUUCGCCGGAUGACGGGUCUUGAAAAUGUCAACUUUAGCUUGAGUAAGCAUGAGAUGAGAACCCAACGGAAGAGCUAGAGUAGGAGCAACAUCAGAAGCAACAGGAGGUGGGCGAGGCUUCAGAGACGGGGAAGAUGGACCUACAAGAGAGUCAGUAACCUGCAAAGACUUGUCCAUUGGGUUAGUACAAAUAACACACGGGUUAGAUUCAGACGGUGUAAUGGAUGGAGAAUGGUGUAGAGGAGACAUCGGAGGGGGGUCAAUAUGAGGCAUGCUUGGUUAAAGGAAAUUCGAAAAAUGGAGAGAAGAAGGGGGUUGGGCUUGGGAGCCAUUUAUGGAGGGAAAGUGGUGUUUAUCAAAUUGAGCAUGAUGGGUGAUAUAAAGCUUAGAGGUGGUGGGAUCAAGACAACGAAAACCUUUGUGGGAAGGGCUAUACCUUAGAAAGAUGGAAAGAAUGCUGUGAGGGGAAAAUUUUUUAGACAUAUAAUCACGCAGACAAGGAUAAACAGGACAAUCGAAAUGAUGAAAAUUCUCAUAAUUAGGUUAUGAACCAUAGAGAAGCUCAAAUGGAGACAUACCUCUGAGAAGCAGUGUGGGCAAAAGGUUAAUGAUGUAGGCUGUAGUGCUGAAGGCAUCAACCCAAAAGCAAGGAGAAAGAUGAGAAUGGAAAAGGAGGGUCAGACCGGUUUCUGUCACAUGUCGGUGUUUUCUUUCAGCACGACCAUUUUGGGUGGGGGUAUAGGGGCAAGAGAGUUGAUGAUGAAUACCCGAGUUGCUAAGGUGGGCUUUGAAGCGAUUGCUUGUAAACUCAGCACCACCAUCACUAUGAAAAUUUUUGAUGCGAGUGGAAUGUUGGUUUUCAACAAGAUUUUGAAAGUGAAUAAAAAUGUCAUAAAAUUCAGAUUUUUAUUUCAAAGGGUAAAGCCAAGUAAAGCAGGAAUAAUCAUCAAUGAAUAACACAUAAUAAAUAAAUCCCGAAGUUGACUUAACGGGGGAAGGACCCCAAAUAUCGUAAUGAAUAAGAUCCAACACAUGAGACAAGCGACGUUCAUUACGAGAAUAAGGCAAGCAAUGAUUUUUUGCAAUUUGACACGUCACAUAAUGAAAGAGAAGGCAACAAUGAGGUAAGAUAAAGAUGGUCAUUUUUAUUUAAUAAAGAAAUAAUUGCUAACAUGUCCAAGACGAGCAUGCCAUAAAUCAUACGAGGCAUGAAGAGCCUUAUUUUUAAGAACAAAAAUGAAAGAGGAAUUGCCGCGCUCCAGCACAUAUAGACCACCAUCUCUUUUACCGGUUGCCACCACCCUUCCCGUUUGAUGAUUCUGGAUAGAAAAAAGUUAUUAGUAAAUGUAAUAGCAAGAAGAGGAAAACCGGAUGUUAAUUUACUAAUUGACAAUAUAUUUUCGUUAAGCGAGGAACAACUAAUACAUCCAAUAACUCAAGAGAUGGGGUAGGAGAGAUGGUACCGGUGUGGGUAAUGGGAAGGGAAGCACCAUUCCCGACAACUACACGAUCCUUACCCGUGUAAUUACUUGCUCGAUCCAAGUGGGAGAGGUCUGGUGUCAUGUGGGCUGAAACCCCUGUGUCCAGGUACCAGUCACUGGGCUUGGGCCUAUUAAGAGAGCAAGAGGCCUUAAAGACCUUAAAGGCCUCGACAAGGUUGGUUGUGGUGCCAACAGGUUCUCCACCUCGUGCAUAUCGCUGGUUUCACUUAUCAGCGUAGUGCCCUUCCUGGUGACAGAUCUGGCAGCGUGGCGGACGGCGGCCCUGCCCGGAGUUGGAACGACCAUUGCCACAGUGGGAAUAUGAGUGGCGACCUGAUUGAUGACGAGACUGGUUUAUGAAAGCUGAGCGAGGUUGACCAUGAUUGGUGGCUGUGAAAGCAGCUGUGGGUGGACCAUGAUUGUCAAGGGAUUUAUGGAAAAGCUUAAAGCUUUCAGCCUUGGAGAACAAAUCAGGAAAGGAGGGCAGUGGCGUUUGAGCCAUUUGGGCGGGUGGAAAAGCUUGUGAAAUCUGAACCAAGGCCACGGAGGAACCAAUGGACUUUAUCAGUGUUGUCGACUGGUCUUCCAAUGGUGUGGAGUUGAUCACAAAGGGCUUUGAACGCCCGAGCAUAUUCGGUUACCAAUCACGUCCCAUGUCUCAUCAAUUGAAGGUCAUCCUUGAGCCGAAUUUCUCUGGCUUUUGAUCAGUGACUGAAUAUAUUUUCGAGUGCUAACUAGACCUCGCAUGAGGUGGAGAGGCCCACAACCUCGGCCAUGGCUUCCUCCGUGAGGGAGGAGAGCAAAAGACUCAAGAGGCGCUGGUCAGUAUUUUUCCAUGCCAAGUGCUUGAUGUUUGGUGCCCGAGAGUCAACAGGAGCAAACCGUGGAGGAGGUGCAAGAGUUCCAUCCACAUGGCCGAGAAGUUCUUGGCUUUCAAGGAGAGGAAGAAGCUGGCUCUUCCAUAGGAGAUAAUUGGAGGAGGAGAGUUUGAUGGUCACCAUGUGAAUCAUGGUGUUGAAAGGGAGAAGGUGGGGGAGGUGUUUUUGAUAGCCAUUGAAGCAAGGGGGAUCGAUGGAGGCUAGUCCGAGAGGGCUCUGAUACCAUGUGAACGUUUUCAAAAAGAAAAAAACCACCACACAUUAUUGUGGUGAGUGCUUCUUCUACAUAUUGCCAUUUACAAAGUACAUAAAAAUAGAAAGAAUAAAUAUGUACAAGAGAAUAGCUUAGAAUUCAGGACAAGACAUUGAGCCGAAUAUUAAGGUAGCUAAUUAAGGUAACGUAUCCUUGACAGUGGUGCAUUAGAUUCCAAGGAAGCAAAUUUGAAAGGAAAACAGUGCCUUCAUGCCUUGAGAUUAUAUUGGUUGGAGCCAAUAGAAUGGAUGAUAUGGGACUUUGAACCAGAAAGGAACAACGUUGAGGAGGCUGAGUCGGUGACUCAAGUCUAAAGGAGCUCUACAUUAAGGAUUAUAUUGGUGAGAGGUUCCCAAGUUGGAUGAUGAAUGAUGGGUUUGGUUCAUUGCUCCCAAAUCUAGUGAAAAUUAUGAUGAAGAGGUGUAAAAGAUUCAGAGUUUUGCCACUGUUCGGUCAACUCCCUUCUCUUCAGUAUCUGGAGCUUGAGUGUUGUAUGGAGAACAUGAAGAGCUACUCAUCAUCAGCAACACCAUUCUUCCCAUCCCUGAAGACACUUCAACUUGAAAGGUUGCCUCAUUUGAUAGAAUGGGGAAAGAGGGACGUAGCAACAGAGCAAGCUCUUUCAUUUCCUUGUUUUUCCAAACUAAAGAUCAAAGUUUGCUGGCUGGCCCUAAAUUGAUGUCCUUGGCAUUGCCUUCAUCUCCUUCUAGUCUUUCUAUUCUAGAUAUCAAAGAAUGCAAUAACUUGGCAUCCUUGGCACUACCAUCAUCUGCUUUUCUUUAUGAUUUCUCAAUUAGACAUCAGUUCUUGCAAUAACUUGACAUCAUCGACACUUUCUUCAUUUCCUUGUCUUUCUCAAUUACAUAUCAAUUUUUGCCAGAACUUGAAAUCAUUACCAUUGUCUUUGUUCCUUGUAUUUCGAAAUUGCACAUCAGAUCUUGCCAUAAAUUUUUGCAAUAAAUUACUGUUUUUUGAGGAUUUGUUUUGAAAAUAAAUUACUUUUUGCAAUAAAUUUGAGGUGUUUUUGAAAAAUAAUAGUUUUUAAAUUUUUUUAAAACAUUGAGGUAUAAAAAAAAAAUUAUUAAUUACCUUAAAUUUAAAUUUUUUUAAAAGUGACUUAUUUUUAUUUCUAUUUUUUCUUCAGGAUUUGUAAGCCAUCUCUUAUUUGAUCAGGGACUUGUGGAGCUGUUGUCGUUACCUGUAAAAGCUUGUGCAUGAUGGACAAUGAUAUAGUACCAAACAGGAAAGGAUUUGGUGGAGCUUCCCUUUAAAGUAUGUGCAUGAUGAUGAAUUAUGAUCAUUUGAGGGAUUCACGAUUUUUAGAAAGAAAAAAGUGAAUUUGAAAAAGAAAAUGUCUGAAUGAAACUGACACCCAGCCUGUAAAGCACAAAGUGUGGUCAGACUAUACGAAUCAAACUUUAGCAACAUUGCCAAUGUAUUGGUCUCAGCAACACCAAUUUAAAAAUCCCCAUUAAACUCGGUAGCUCAGUGUUUACAGAUUUUGUGUUCAUGGCUGGCUCUCUUGAGAAUGCCAUGGUGCUGUCAUCAACAACCGAUGAAGAUGAGAAACAGAGGGAAAGUAGAAGCAAAAGAGAGAUCAUUUCCACCCUCCCAACUGAAAAAGGCUGGAAAAUUCAGGGUCUUAUGUACCAGUACCAAGGCUUUUGGUACUAUUCUGGGGGUGCUGUAGAAGGAGUCAUGUGGAUGCAAAAAUGCUUCAAGGCAAGGAAUGAAGAUGUUCUCUUGGUCUCCUUUCCAAGAUGUGGAACAACAUGGUUGAAAUCUCUCAUGUUUUCUAUCAUGAAUCGAACCAGGUAUGAUUUCUCAGCACACCCUUUGCUGACUUCUAGCCCUCAUGAACUUGUUCCCUUCCUGGAAUUCUACGCAGAGCAGAACAUCCCCUUCCCAGACCUGGACACACUUUCCUCUCCUCAGCUCUACCAUACUCACAUUGCCCUCACUUCAUUACCCCAACCUGUCAUAGACUCUCAGUGUCGAGUUGUCUAUAUCUGUCGCAACCCCAAAGAUGUGUUUGUUUCUAUUUUUUGUUCUCUCGAGAUGGAAUAUAGUGGUUCCCCUUGAAGAGGCAUUUGAGUUGUUCUGCAAAGGAAUUAGCUUCUAUGGACCCUUCUGGGACCAUGUUUUAGGGUAUUGGAAGGAUAGUUUAGCUUCACCCCAGAGAAUAUUGUUUAUGAAAUAUGAAGAUGUGAAGAGGGAUUCCUUGUGUCAGGUCAAGAGGUUGGCAGAGUUCAUGGGCUUUCCCUUCUCUUCCGAGGAAGAGGGACAAGGUUUGAUACAUGAAAUUAUGGAGCUGUGUAGUUUUGAGAAUCUAAGAAAUUUGAAGGUAAACAAGACCGGAGCAAUAUCUGUGGGCAAUGUCAGCACUGGAAAGGAUACUUUCUUCAGGAAAGGUGAGGUUGGUGAUUGGAAGAAUCAUCUGACAGCUGAAAUGGCCGAUCGCACUGACAGGAUCAUGGAGGAAAAGUUGAAAGGUUCUGGUCUGACGUUCAGCGACUCCUGUGAUAGCUGAUUAUUAGUGCUGGAGGUGAACUUCAUAUGAUUUGUAUUAAGUUAAUUUAUUAACUAUCUAAUUGUCUUCUGUUAAGCGUGCUUGUAACAAAUGGAAUGAUGGUGUUAAGUUAAUUUGUAUUAAGUUAUAAGGCUUUCUUAAUUUAUAUAUAAAUUCAAUACUUGGCUAAGAAAUCAAUUCCACCAAAUAUACACAUGGACCAAUUAAAUUGGUCUCCUGAAUAUAACUAACUCAUCCUUGUCAAGAAAUUCCCGAACCUUAAAAGGGCAACAUGUGUUUCAUGAGAUUGUUCAAUUUCUCCCCUUUUUUUUAUUUCAAUCUACCUAAACAAGCUCAAUUACAAUUAAUUUUAUCAUAUUUUAAAAAAUUUGUGUAACACGGGUCUCAUGAGCUUGUUCCCUUCUUGGAAUUCUACUUACAUCAGAACAUCCCUUUCCCAAAAUUGGACACACUUUCCCCUCCGCAUCUCUUCCAUACUCACUUUCCUUUUACUUCCUUACCUCAACCUGUCAUAGACUCUCAGUGUCGAAUUGUCUA
Molecule: long non-coding RNA, 12784 nt
Filed under: Vitis vinifera (wine grape)
Lineage: Eukaryota; Viridiplantae; Streptophyta; Magnoliopsida; Vitales; Vitaceae
Description: long non-coding RNA (VVIN_LNC004359)
Source: RNAcentral